This 433-nucleotide ribosomal RNA is filed under the name uncultured bacterium. Its description in RNAcentral is "partial 16S ribosomal RNA". It matches the Rfam family "Bacterial small subunit ribosomal RNA", at positions 29 to 507 of the family's 1533-position model. The record is from RNAcentral.
AGCGAACGCUGGCGGCAGGCCUAACACAUGCAAGUCGAACGAACUCUUCGGAGUUAGUGGCGGACGGGUGAGUAACACGUGGGAACGUGCCUUUUGGUUCGGAAUAACUCAGGGAAACUUGUGCUAAUACCGAAUGUGCCCUUCGGGGGAAAGAUUUAUCGCCAUUAGAGCGGCCCGCGUCUGAUUAGCUAGUUGGUGAGGUAACGGCUCACCAAGGCGACGAUCAGUAGCUGGUCUGAGAGGAUGACCAGCCACACUGGGACUGAGACACGGCCCAGACUCCUACGGGAGGAAGCAGUGGGGAAUCUUGCGCAAUGGGCGAAAGCCUGACGCAGCCAUGCCGCGUGAAUGAUGAAGGUCUUAGGAUUGUAAAAUUCUUUCACCGGGGACGAUAAUGACGGUACCCGGAGAAGAAGCCCUGGCUAACUUCGUG